Danio rerio (zebrafish) is the source of this 1491-nucleotide non-coding RNA. NCBI's taxonomy places the organism in Eukaryota, Metazoa, Chordata, Actinopteri, Cypriniformes, Danionidae. The record is from Ensembl.
AGGACUCGGCGCACGCGGCCGCGCGCAGCGCUUCACUUCACUUAAUUACGAACACCUGACCUGCAGUGCAGCAGAAUUCAGAGACAUGUAACUUAACGUACUCCAGAGACGCAAUAACUUGCACAGCAUUGAAUGGAAAAGGCUUUGUCCAUGUCCAGUUGAGGGGCAUCAAGAACACGCAGAUGGCCUAAAUCUGUGUCAGCCUGGACAGACUGCAGUUCUGCUAUUCCACGCCAAGGCUUUUGUAUGGAUGUCUGACUACUACUGUGUUCUCUAAAGGUUUUCUGGAAGCUCCAUUUGAGGGCAUCAAGGACAUACUGAUGGCCUAAACCAGUGUCAGCCUAGACAGACAGACAGACAUCUAUUGCAGUUCUGCUACACAAGACCAAACUCUCUGCUUUUGUAUGGAUGUCUGACUAGUACGGUGUUCUCUAAAGGUAUAACUGGAGCAAAACAACAGCAUCCGUUACAGUGAAAUUUGUGUUCAUAAAAGAUAGUGAAAUAUGUGUAACAGGUCUAGUACAUUUGUCAUAAAGGUUAAAUCACAGUAAGUACUGUAAAAAUAACUUGUUUGCCUUUGCCACAACAGGUCAUGGUGUGUGCUUACUGCUCGUAGUAAACACACACGCUGAUCUGAUGCGGGAGAGAUAUACGCAAACACAUUUGUAUUUACUGUUUUGUUUUGCCUCACUAAAGUGUUGUUGGAGCUUGGUAUGUUCACAGUUGAAAUCACUGAAGUCACAUGGAACGUUUUGACAAUGUGUUUUGUGCCUUAUCUUGACAAUGACCAUCUUGGGACCAUUGCUGUCUGUAGAGGAUGAGGAGCAUUUAAUCUAAAAUAUUUUAGUUUGUUCUGAAGAUUAACAGGUCUCUGGGAUGACACAAGUAAUUAAUAACAGAACCUAUAUGAACACUUAAUGUGACAUGUAAUAGUGAAAUAGUGGUCCUACAUUCACAAAUGUGAGCCAUUAUUAUAAGACCCCUAUGAACAUGCAAUUUUUAUGAUACUAAUAAUAAUGGAAUAACUAAUUGCUAUUACUGUUGUGUUUGUGAGAGAGAAUCAAACCAUAUAUUCUACACAUUUUCUUGAUGAUUUACUGAAAUAUUUGUCUAUGUUCCACUGUCACAGGUGCUCAGUUUUGCUGCAGUAAUGCUAAACACAAUAGAUGUACUUUAUGCAAAAAAAACAACAAAAAACUACUAAAUAUUUACCAUGCAGACCUGCAAAGUGAAGGAGUAAUGUCAGGUUUAGAUUAUAGCAGUUUUUCACUAUUGAGAAAGUGAAGCCAUUCAUUCACAAUGAAUUGGAAUAGCAAACCUCAUUAUUGAUUUUGUAGGAUACUCACCUGGUGUUUGAGAAAUAAAUAUGUAUUUAACUGCUAGACUGAUAUAGAUGUUUUAGUGUUUUACACUUGAUUCUUUGUCCCCAGUAACAUCUUUUACCUCAAGUGUUUCUCAAAACCUAUAAAACCUCAAACAGAUGUAAUGUAU